GAGAGAAUUUCUUAUGGUAGGAAAUUUUCGGAUGCCUUCUCUAAAGGAUGGGCUUGCCUUUUAUAGGCGAGGGGAUACAUUUGAAUGCAAUAGAUUGAUACAAGUGGACGGCUCAGAUUUUGCCGACAAUGUUGAGUGCUUACUUUUGAAAAGUAAAGUAAGUUACUAUUUGCUUUUUUGAAAAAGCAGUUUACUAUUUGCUUUUGCUUUUGAAAAGUCAUGUCUGUCUUUAGACAGUUGUGACAGCCUGAUUUCUAUCAGGAAUAGUAGGUUGCCCUUUGGAGAGAUAAUUCCGGCUCUUUGAACCUCUAUCUCUUCGAAGGGUUAUUCUCCUAUUCUUAAUAGGGAUCUAGGUAGGCCAUAGCAAUCCCUUUGGGAUCNNN
RNAcentral lists this long non-coding RNA (383 nucleotides) under Capsicum annuum. RNAcentral's name for it is "long non-coding RNA (CANN_LNC001184)". The record is from RNAcentral. Lineage: Eukaryota; Viridiplantae; Streptophyta; Magnoliopsida; Solanales; Solanaceae.